UUGUCACGUUGACGUUGGCGUCCUAACGGACGUGACGUCAAAUACUUUGUACGUUAUUCUGAUGAAGACAACAGUCGAAACUGGAAAAAAGAUAAAAGGAUAAAAGGAAAACAUGAAGAUAGUUCUAGGAAACAUUUUCAUUCUGUGUUUGGUAUAUGUAAUGCUGUCAAGUGCAAUUGCUGGAGAAAAAAAUGUUGACGAUUCUUGCUUGGAAACUGCUGAGGAAGAGGUUUCCUGUUUGUACAAGAACGCCAUAUGGACAUAUGACGUCGAACAAGAAUCAUGUGUAGCUAAAGUUGGUUGUUAUCCGAGAUAUGCUCCAGAAAGUAACGUCUUCAGACAACCCGAUCAUUGCCUUUCAUGGUGCAUUAAAGCAUAAGACAAGAAAUAUAUGUUGAAGAGAACACCCUUUUCUCCUUUAGUUAAGAAUAAAUAAAACUGUAAUGUUUCGUUAAAUAAGAUGACAAUACUUCUAACACACUCUUUAAAAUAUAGAAACGAUAUAAAGACAAAAGCACUUUCAAACAAACAUAAUUAUAUGGAAAUAUUGUUUCUUUUACAAUACAAUAUUAAGCUGAAUAAUUUAAUCAAUCUUAAAAAUGUAACUUUGAUUUAAUAAAACUGUUUUAUAUUAGAAAUGAAUCUUUGU
This is a long non-coding RNA of Ruditapes philippinarum (Manila clam), 649 nucleotides long. RefSeq lists it as uncharacterized. The record is from RefSeq and is a predicted model, not a curated record. NCBI's taxonomy places the organism in Eukaryota, Metazoa, Mollusca, Bivalvia, Venerida, Veneridae. The transcript has 3 exons.